This is a long non-coding RNA of Dendroctonus ponderosae (mountain pine beetle), 359 nucleotides long. RefSeq lists it as uncharacterized. The record is from RefSeq and is a predicted model, not a curated record. Lineage: Eukaryota; Metazoa; Arthropoda; Insecta; Coleoptera; Curculionidae. The transcript has 3 exons.
GAAAGCAUAUACAAGUGAAACAAUGAGUGUUGAAAAUUCAAGUGCUGCUUUCACGGUAUGGUGUUUGGAUAAGAUGCAUUACUUUGCAUAAAAUUUGCGCUCUUUAAACAAAUCGUGUUUUGCGUGGCGCAGAAAAAUAGACCAUUUGAACGACUUUGAGACUGAACUUGUAACAAAAUGAUAAUUUACAAAUUAUGCCAGAAAAGCGGAGAUUCAGUUCGGGUACAUUUUCUAGGGAUGCCAGUAAAGCGGAGAUUCAGUUCGGGUACAUUUUCUAGGGGUAAAUGUGUACUAUAUGUAAAAACGUUUCGAAUUUUGAGUCAUCGUCAGGCAAUUUUCGAAAAAACUUUUGAAUUUUG